UCCUUAACGGGAGCAUUCUGCCGGCCUAUGUAUACUACAAACACUUUAAAGUAUCAGAAUGUAAACGCGUCUAACGCAUCUAUAAUACAACUUUUAGCAACGGAUCUCUUGGCUCUCGCAUCGAUGAAGAACGCAGCGAAAUGCGAUAAGUAAUGUGAAUUGCAGAAUUCAGUGAAUCAUCGAAUCUUUGAACGCACCUUGCGCUCCUUGGUAUUCCGAGGAGCAUGCCUGUUUGAGUGUCAUGGAAUUCUCAACUUAUAAAUCCUUGUGAUCUAUAAGCUUGGACUUGGAGGCUUGCUGGCCCUUGUUGGUCGGCUCCUCUUGAAUGCAUUAGCUCGAUUCCGUAUGGAUCGGCUCUCAGUGUGAUAAUUGUCUACGCUGUGACCGUGAAGUGUUUUGGCGAGCUUCUAACCGUCCAUUAGGACAACUUUUUAACAUCUGACCUCAAAUCAGGUAGGACUACCCGCGAAC
Molecule: ribosomal RNA, 471 nt
Filed under: Trametes versicolor
Lineage: Eukaryota; Fungi; Basidiomycota; Agaricomycetes; Polyporales; Polyporaceae
Description: eukaryotic LSU rRNA
Rfam family: 5.8S ribosomal RNA (bases 89-242)
Source: RNAcentral